GGAGAGAUGGCUGAGCGGUCGAAAGCAAUAGUCUUGAAAACUAUAGUCCUCGCAAGGGGACCCAGGGUUCGAAUCCCUGUCUCUCCGCCA
RNAcentral lists this transfer RNA (90 nucleotides) under Candidatus Altimarinota bacterium. RNAcentral's name for it is "tRNA-Ser". It matches the Rfam family "tRNA". Rfam says of the family: Transfer RNA (tRNA) molecules are approximately 80 nucleotides in length. Their secondary structure includes four short double-helical elements and three loops (D, anti-codon, and T loops). Lineage: Bacteria; Candidatus Altimarinota. The record is from RNAcentral.